AAUGACGCUCGGACAGGCAUGCCCCCCGGAAUACCAGGGGGCGCAAUGUGCGUUCAAAGACUCGAUGAUUCACUGAAUUCUGCAAUUCACAUUAGUUAUCGCAUUUCGCUGCGUUCUUCAUCGAUGCCGGAACCAAGAGAUCCGUUGUUGAAAGUUU
This 157-nucleotide ribosomal RNA is filed under the name Penicillium glabrum. RNAcentral describes it as "5.8S ribosomal RNA". Lineage: Eukaryota; Fungi; Ascomycota; Eurotiomycetes; Eurotiales; Aspergillaceae. The record is from RNAcentral.